Marmota monax (woodchuck) is the source of this 345-nucleotide long non-coding RNA. RefSeq lists it as uncharacterized. The record is from RefSeq and is a predicted model, not a curated record. Lineage: Eukaryota; Metazoa; Chordata; Mammalia; Rodentia; Sciuridae. The transcript is spliced from 2 exons.
CAAAUGAGGCCCGGCCCGCGCGGCCGACAGGCCCCUCCAUCUUCCCAUUAGCGCCUAAUGGCCCCCCCGCCGCCGCCUGAUGAAGAUUUAUCGGCCCCGGAACCCCCGCCCCCGCCCCGGCCGCCCCGCGCCCGCGGCCGCCCCGCCCCCGCCGCGGACACCUGAUGAAGCCGUCACCCGGCGGGAGGGGCGGCCCGACCCGGCGAGGCCCGCAGACGGCGAGAGAAAGUUCUGAGAGCCCGAGGGAGCCCGGGCAACCCGGAGCCCCGACAGGCGGAAGAGCGAAUCGCGCCCCAUCCAUCAACAGGCUCGCAGCCUCCCUAAUAAAAACAUUUUACUCCUAAA